UCAAGACUGCAAACUUACAUGUCUCAAGCUCCUUUUAUUUUCUCCUUUGAUCGUCUGUCAUAUACUUGGUCUUGUUACUUCUCCUGCUCUGCCUGCCUUCCCUCUGAGGAUAUAUAUGCUGAACGGACCAGAAGUUAUCUGCUCCUGGCAUUAUCUAGCAAACUACUGAAUCACAAAUUGUGGGGAGAGAGCUGCAACGCGUCUCUUACUCGAUCAUUAGGAUGAAAAGAGAAAUGGGUAACACAAAGAUGCAGUUCCCUACUUGAAAAGGAAGGAGACUGGCAGUGCAUUUCAGGCCUUUUAAAGCGCAGCGGAGGGCCUGCCGAUUUGGGGCUUCUUGGGUAAUGCCUAUUCCAGUGCAGCAGCGUUCCUCGGCUGUAAUGAAGCACCUUGUAAAUUAUGUAUAACGGCGCAACAUUAUUCCUGGCAAAAUAUUCCUGUCAGGACAUUCGUCCUUGUAAAUCAUCGCAGAAGGCAGUUUCUAGUAGAGUUAUGUAAAAAUGUGACCUCUUGCUGCUAAUGAGACCAGCACUGAUCAACUGCUAGCAGGCAUAUGCUACUCUAAUGCCCCACUGCUGCAAACUGUUGCAAGUUUAAGUUCUUCAUUUGACUGCUUGGCCUAGGUGAGAUGUAACACUCCUACUAACUGAUUAGGAGAAAUAGAAGGGAAAGGAAGUGGUUGCCUCCAGGUUUCUACUCUGUGGUGUACGUUUGGUUUCUGGCUGAACCAUUUAGAACUGCUCAAAUGGCAGAAGACGACUAGUCAUGCGAUGUAGCACUGUUUUGUUUUAGGUUAGUAUGAUCUGAACAUGCACAUUUUGGUUUGUCGAUCCAAAUGGAAACUUCGUGCUUCAGGUUAACUGGACAUAAAAUUUAAACUAUUCCUAAACCAUUAUGGUGUCUUGUGGAAGAAUUCAAAUACCUCUGCAAGCAGCAGCCCCUCAUCUGGUUGAAAUGCUGUGUUGAAAGUCACAUGCCAGUAGAAGAUCAUGGGACAUAUAAACCCGCCAAGAUUCUUCCUGGAGAAAAGAAAAAAAUGUACAUUAUGCAUUGUGGCAGAGCGCUGAGCAUUUCCAGCUCCUGGCAUCACACUGGGAUCUAGCUGUAUUCAGCAGCUCACCACAGUGAACUUUUUCGGUGAGGACAGAAAAGAUAGAUGUUUGCAGAUGGCACAUUUGAGGAUCAUACUUCCCAUACGUGUUGCAAGAUUAAGUAAAAGCCAGGGAGGUGAUGGGAGCCAAGAGAGAAAGGGCCUGUGUCCUCAGCAUCUCGGUGCGUGACUCCAGAGGAUGAGAGAUAGACUUCAACUGGUGGCAGGUGGAAUGUACCUGCCCUUGAGUGAGAAAUCAGCUGUCUCUUCAUGCUUUCCAGAACGUUCAGUCUCUCAAUUCAGAUUGAGAUGCCUUUAUCUUCCCUGGGAUCUAAAAAAGGAUAAGUAGUACGCUCACAUAAAUCUAACUGCAGGAUUAAGGCAUCUGUCCACAAGUAAAAAAAAGAUGAGGCACUUCCAAAUAGCAAUGAUCCUGCGUCAGGUUUCCUAACUAGAUUCUUUGGUGAACUGUUCUUCAGCCAGCCAGAUACUUUAAUCACACUUGUUGAUGAAUCCAUAAAUCAAAGGUUUGAGAAAGCCAGUGAUCUUCAGCACCAGGUAGCAAAGCAAGCCCUGUGCUGACCUAAAACUGUGUUGCGUGUAACCACAGAGCUGCAGGACUUUGGCAAGUCUGACUGUCUUUUAAGAGAGCUCAAUAGGAACGCAAAAGAGGCAGGUGUCCUUGGGGCUUUGCAAGGGCUGCCUGCGGCAACAGUGAGGCUCAUUCCAAAGAACUCAUGAACGACGUUGUUCAAAUGAUGAUGUUCAAAGAAAGCCUUGAAAUAAAGUGGGGCGUCCUGUCUCUGCUUUUUUGCAAAGAGCAAUUACUAAAACCAUCAUUAGGAACUCCUGAAAACAGAAAUUCAAAACCAGACUAUGGAGCAAGAGAACUGAAUUAUAAAGUAGCGUGAACCAAUUAACUUCCUGCCUCUCCUCUACAGUAAAGGCUGAUGUACAGAAUCCUUGACUUCUACACAGCAGCAAGCAGGGAAGCAGCAGAGGGUUAUACUACUGGCUCAGUAUGCUGGAAGAUACUCCUCUUGCUGUUGGGAUGUGUGUACUUGAUACACAUAAGACUGUAAGUGAAAUGUUUUUCCCGAAUGAUUCCUCAAAUAGCGUUAUUCAGGUGCAAGAAAAGGAGGUAUUUGCCUUACAGUGUAGGGAGAAAUGAUCUACCACAUCUCUGCAUAAUGAUAUUAUACCUGGAAACUACUUUAAAAUAAGGCAGACUUAAACCUAGGAGGACUGGGAUAGGAGAUGAAGGAUGAUGGAACCCUGCUGUAUUUUGUCUCUUUUUAGUGGAAUAGAUUUGAGUUAAAACCCCAUUGAAUCAGGCAGGAUAAGAGGAAUUUGGGAUCUGAACCAGGUUUCCAGAUAUAGAAAAAUGCAAUGUCUCUAGCAGGUCAUGAACAAUUUUAUUGCUUUCUUCCUUCUUUGUGAUUUAUCUUUCCAUACUUUUGGUGAUUUCUAAUGGUCAGAGCAGCUAAAGGGCAGCCUUGAUGAUGUUUUUGUCUUUACACACACCUUGGACCUGGGAGAGUAAUUAUAGUAGUCUCCAAUCUCUGUAAACUCAUAGAUGUCACCCUCAAGCACAGGAUACACAGGAGAGAAAAAGCUUUAUUUACCCUUCAGCUCACUGCAAAUCUGCAUAAUGCUGGGAGAAAUCCUCAGCCUAAUUCUCCUCCCAGGGCAUCAGUAGAAACUGAGAGAAUUUCACUGGAAGGCAAUUCUUCCAGAAGAUGUGGGAGGCAACCUGGAUACUGCGUGUAACAGGUCUGCAAAGCGAACAGUCCCUGCUCACCUCUUUUCCCUGGAUCUUGCUCCUACCCUAUGCAAAGUUGAUAAAACUGACGCUGUUCAGGAUAAAGCUUACCUCAUCUCAAAAGGAGAGUUUUAAAAAUGAGAGUAGGAUGACUUGCAAAUUGUGGAUAGAUAAACAGAUAGUAACUCAAAGUUAAUUUUUAAUGUUCAGCUUCUGAUUGUUCGGGAGAGGGGGAUAACAAGGCUACUCAAAUAUUCUGUCUGAACAGAGCAUAAAUGACUGUUCUUAGGCAAAGUUGCUGCCAAAACACCCAACUGCCCAUCACAACACAUCAAGCUCCCAGAAUGGAAAUCCUCUUGGCAAGGGCGUAUGAUAGUCCACAGACUUCAGUGUCAGAACUGGAAAAAAACAAAAUAAGCAAGCAAUAAAGCAAAAAAAAGGGAAAAAUUAUACUCAUUGUAAUUGAGUCAGCUUGUUGAGGGACAUAAAAAUCUAAUCAAUUGCUUUUGCAUAACAAUCAGUUGUCAUGUUGGGCUCUAAUUGAGCAGCCAGAUGGAGCCUUGUAGUUGUAGACUGUAGUAGUAUUCCUGGGACACACAAAACCACAUGAGGCGAUGAACAUUAGGUUCAUCUUUCUGUUAACAUGUAAGGAGAACUCCACUUAACAGGCAAAAACAGAUUUCCCAGACCAAACAUAUUCAACUCAAUGUGCUUCUCUCCUAUACACAGCAGAUAGAAACCUUUCUUUUAAUGGAUGCUUUCUGGGUUUAUAGGUAUUACCAAGUACCCUGAAGCUGGGGCAUGAGUGGCUUCCAAACGCCCAGAUGACAUGGAGGAUCUACAGGAACUUGACUUCCUUUCUAAUAUUUUUGCAUAUGCUCCAUAAGCAUGGCACAUUUAAAAGGACACUGACCAGACAUUUUUCAUAAGCAUUUUGUUUCUUAAUGUUUAUAAAAGCUUCUCGGGAAAACUGAAACUGAAAUCCAUUUCUUGAGUGAAUUGUUUUUCUACUCCAUCUGGAUGCUUUGAUUUACUUGGCUGUGGGCUUUUUAUUAGCAGCAGAAACAAAAGUAGUAAUAAAGAACUGAGAGUAUUUAAUAGUUUAUCCCUAAAAGUAACAUAGGUCUUGGUAUCUUACUGGACACAAGUUAUUACUGUAAUUUUAACCAAAAAAGGCAAGUUGUAUUUUGGAUCUGCAAAACUUGGCAGUAUUCUAUCAAAGAGGAUAUUGAAUCAAGUAUAGUCAGUCAAGAAAUAAAACUGUCAACCAAAACCCUUUGGCCUAAAUGCAGACUGGCUCUCUUUCCCUUUCUGGGCUCACUAGGAUCUCAGUCCAACAAAGUUCAUUGCUUUGAAAGGGAACAGAGCCUCGUAGCUUGUGUGCAGCACUGAUGCCUGUUUUUAUUCCUGUCAAUACCUGUGCAAGUAAACAACUCAGAGAUUCGGGAAAGGAAUUUAACUUAUUUAUUUCAUGUCUGGUUUCUGAUAAUCAUUAAA
This is a non-coding RNA of Struthio camelus australis, 4349 nucleotides long. The record is from RefSeq and is a predicted model, not a curated record. Lineage: Eukaryota; Metazoa; Chordata; Aves; Struthioniformes; Struthionidae.